GACGAACGCUGGCGGCGUGCUUAACACAUGCGAGUCGAGCGGACAGGCCCGGCUCUUGUGGGGUUCUCGAUAGGCGAGCGGGGGAGUGAAACGCGUGUAAACUGCACUUGACUUUGGGAUAAAUCUAGGAAACUCGGGCUAUUACCGGGUAUGAUCUCCUGCAGCGUGUGGGGGGAUGGAAAGAUUCGGCGGUUGGGGAACGACUCGCGGCAUAUCCGCUUGUUGGUGGGGUAGUGGCUUACAAGGGCUAUGACGGGUAGCCGGCCUGGGAGGUUGACCGGCCUCAUUGGGACUGAGAUACGGCCCAGACUCCUACGGGACGCAGCAGGGGGGAAUAUUGCACAAUGAGCGGAAGCCUGAUGCAGCAACGCCGCGUGCGGGAUGACGGCCUUCGAGCUGUAAACCUCUGUCGCCUGUGACGAAGAGUGAGUGACGGUAAUGGGUAAAGAAGCACCGGCUAACUACGUG
Molecule: ribosomal RNA, 468 nt
Filed under: uncultured bacterium
Lineage: Bacteria
Description: partial 16S ribosomal RNA
Rfam family: Bacterial small subunit ribosomal RNA
Source: RNAcentral